Molecule: small nucleolar RNA, 65 nt
Filed under: Entamoeba invadens IP1
Lineage: Eukaryota; Evosea; Mastigamoebida; Endamoebidae
Description: Small nucleolar RNA SNORD18
Rfam family: Small nucleolar RNA SNORD18
About the family: U18 is a member of the C/D class of snoRNA which contain the C (UGAUGA) and D (CUGA) box motifs.
Source: Rfam by way of RNAcentral
UUGAAAGGAUGAGAUUAGGUCCGUGUUCCUGAAUAAUUUCUGAUGUAACUUGACCUUCUGAUCAA